CUGGAGUUCUCAAUGCAGCAUCAUCUGUGAAAGAAGUUUUGCAAUCUACUGGUAUCAAAGUUAAACUUGAUGACUCAGAUCAGAGAACCCCAGGAUGGAAGUUCAAUUUCUGGGAGAUGAAGGGAGUUCCUCUGAGGAUUGAAAUUGGUCCACGGGAUGUUUCAAGUGGAAGUGUGGUUAUAUCUAGGAGAGAUGUUCCUGGAAAGCAAGGGAAAGUAUUUGGAAUAUCUAUGGACCCUUCAAUUUUAGAAGCUUAUGUCAAGGACAAGUUGGAUGAAAUCCAGUCAUCCCUUCUAAGUAGAGCAACAUCAUUUCGGGAUAGUAACAUUGUGGAUGUGAGCUCAUAUGAUGAACUCAAAGCUGCAAUAUCCCUUGGCAAAUGGGCAAGGGGUCCUUGGUCAGCUAGUGAUGCAGAUGAAUUAAAGGUGAAAGAAGAAACAGGAGCAACAAUUCGGUGUUUUCCCUUUGAACAACCUCAAGGGACUAAAACAUGCUUGAUGACUGGCAAGCCAGCAGAAGAAGUUGCAAUUUUUGCUAAAUCUUAUUGAUUUUCAAGGCAUUACUCCUUUUCAAAGAUUUGAUCUUGUUUGGGGGAGCAUUAUGAGGGUAAAAAAUUUUGUCAGAGCUCUCUCCAUCCUCAUAUUUAUAAGUUCUAUCAAAUUGGCCAAGGCAAAGUAUUUUAUUGAUUACUAUGAAUUGU
This 700-nucleotide unclassified non-coding RNA is filed under the name Hevea brasiliensis (rubber tree). The record is from RNAcentral. Lineage: Eukaryota; Viridiplantae; Streptophyta; Magnoliopsida; Malpighiales; Euphorbiaceae.